GGCCAAAAGAACAAAGAGAAAACGAUACCGUACGAGUAAGUCACGACGAGUUGGUCGCGGAAGGGCUGAUUCCGGCGGAUUCGUGGUUGACGUCGGCGGCGAUCUCGUCGGAGAGAAUGCGGUGCCACUGCUAGGUCGCGAGAUCGGAAACGGCGGCGUGAACGGCGAUAUCGCGCGGACAGCGGCGUCGUGGUUGUGCGCGGCGACGAGAACCUGGCUUCGACUUAUUGCAUCGGCUUGAAAUAGUAAGUGGAGGUUGGUUCGAGAAAAUCUCGGGUUAUACUGUCCUUGAGAACCUAUCAUCUUCCUCAUGUUUUGAGGACUCUUUUCCUCUCCAGGCUUACCAUGCUACUGGUUCAAGUAAAGUAGAUCUAUUUGCUGUAAGAAAUUAUCAUAUUGGCAUGACGCAAUUGAAGAUGGAUGAAGAGCUUGACGCCCACGAAAAAAAUUUGAAGAUGGAGAUCUUUCUUGUAAUCUAAAGAACUUUGUAAUAAUCACUUGUAUCUUAAGAAUUUUAGUGAUUUAAGAACUUUGUCAUGGUGGUCUAACACUUUGAUGCAAAUGGUCUAAAUUUGUAAAUCCAAAUGUGUAUUCAUCUUUGUUGUU
Molecule: long non-coding RNA, 606 nt
Organism: Vicia villosa (hairy vetch)
Lineage: Eukaryota; Viridiplantae; Streptophyta; Magnoliopsida; Fabales; Fabaceae
Exons: 3
Source: RefSeq, a predicted model, not a curated record